GCAAGUCGAACGGACCCUUCGGGGUUAGUGGCGGACGGGUGAGUAACACGUGGGAACGUGCCUUUAGGUUCGGAAUAGCUCCUGGAAACGGGUGGUAAUGCCGAAUGUGCCCUUCGGGGGAAAGAUUUAUCGCCUUUAGAGCGGCCCGCGUCUGAUUAGCUAGUUGGUUGGGGUAAUGGCCCACCAAGGCUACGAUCAGUAGCUGGUCUGAGAGGAUGACC
RNAcentral lists this ribosomal RNA (221 nucleotides) under uncultured bacterium. Its description in RNAcentral is "partial 16S ribosomal RNA". It matches the Rfam family "Bacterial small subunit ribosomal RNA", at positions 57 to 305 of the family's 1533-position model. The record is from RNAcentral.